Molecule: long non-coding RNA, 803 nt
Organism: Triplophysa rosa
Lineage: Eukaryota; Metazoa; Chordata; Actinopteri; Cypriniformes; Nemacheilidae
Exons: 4
Source: RefSeq, a predicted model, not a curated record
AGGGAGCACAGUUACACGUGAGUGAAGUCUAGACGUGACUCAUCUGGCAAUUCGUUUAUCACUGGGACACACAAUGACACGCGUUUCCAUUUGCUUCCAGACAGGACGCCUACUGUCCCAGACUGUCGCUCAUCAAUUAGCAGAGCGGUCAGCCAUGUUACAUGGAGGAUAAACUGACCCCAAAACAGAGGAUGACACACGAAAUUAAUAAGCACUGUGCGCCACAAGACACGAACAAGUCUGGUUUCUGACAUCCUCAUUAACUGAAAUGCCAUGAAGAUUCAGUGGGCACAGGGUAGUGCAGUGGCAUACAUCUUUCAGAUAUGCAAAGCAACAAGAUAAGAGUGACUUCACGUGUACGAUGAAGAAGGCAGGACAUUGUGUUGCCAAGGACAAGGACACAGAGAUUGCUCUCCUGCGGUGUGAUCAAACCGGGCGGCCAGCACUGAUUGAAGACCAGAGGAGGGUUCUUCGGCUGAAACCCAAACCAACUCUGUCAUAGGUGCACACCUGAGAAACAACAGAACACAGCUCGGGCGUGUUUCCUAAAAUUGGAAUUCAGCACGUAACACCGGAGAAGGUAAUAGCCAAAAGAAGCCAGAGAAGUUUGAGUAACUCCUUCUGUAACUGUUACCCGAUAAUUAUAUUUUUAAAAAUUCUAACUGUACUUCCUGAAGUAAUAAAACAGCAACUGCUUUAAAAACUUAAAUUUAACCUUUCUAAGAAGAAAAAAAACGGUAUGUCAUUAUGGCUUUUGUAACUAAUGACUCAGACAUAAAUAAAAUCUGUGAAAUAUCAUUGAA